CACCGUGUUAGCUAUAGUGGCCACGGGAUCUCCAACUGCAUGCAAGAGCAACCUGGAGAGACUUGGACAGAACAGGUCAGCCUAAUACCUGCAGCUGCCACUCGUCUUUCCUAUUGUG
Molecule: small nucleolar RNA, 118 nt
Organism: Cercocebus atys (sooty mangabey)
Lineage: Eukaryota; Metazoa; Chordata; Mammalia; Primates; Cercopithecidae
Source: Ensembl